RNAcentral lists this ribosomal RNA (403 nucleotides) under uncultured bacterium. RNAcentral describes it as "bacterial SSU rRNA". It matches the Rfam family "Bacterial small subunit ribosomal RNA", at positions 356 to 773 of the family's 1533-position model. The record is from RNAcentral.
UGGGAAUUUUGCGCAAUGGGGGAAACCCUGACGCAGCAACGCCGCGUGGGUGAGGAAGGCCUUCGGGUCGUAAAGCCCUUUCAGUAGGGAAGAAACAAAUGACGGUACCUGCAGAAGAAGCACCGGCUAACUCCGUGCCAGCAGCCGCGGUAAUACGGAGGGUGCGAGCGUUAUUCGGAUUCACUGGGCGUAAAGCGCGCGUAGGCGGUUGGGUAAGUCUGAUGUGAAAGCCCCCGACUUAAUCGAGGAAGUGCAUUGGAUACUGCCUGACUAGAGUGCAGGAGAGGAAGAUGGAAUUCCCGGUGUAGAGGUGAAAUUCGUAGAUAUCGGGAGGAACAACAGAGGCGAAGGCGAUCUUCUGGACUGUAACUGACGCUGAGGCGCGAAAGCGUGGGGAGCAAAC